Long non-coding RNA from Acanthopagrus latus (yellowfin seabream), 622 nucleotides. RefSeq lists it as uncharacterized. NCBI's taxonomy places the organism in Eukaryota, Metazoa, Chordata, Actinopteri, Spariformes, Sparidae. The transcript is spliced from 2 exons. The record is from RefSeq and is a predicted model, not a curated record.
GGCAGCUAAAAAAGGUUGCCCAUCAGCUGUGGCUGUGGAGGCGCGGCUGAAGGAGGAGGGAGGAGGAUUUCUGUGAAAUACAACGUCAACAUACGAGCAAGGCAGUGAGAAGCUGGAAUAAAAGCAACAAGUUUCAACGGUGACAUUACAUCGACAUCGAACACGUCAAACAAGUGUGCUUUUACCAUUGUUUAUUAAAAAUGUAUUUAUAGAGAGAGAGAAUGCCAGUCAAGCCUAAAGGCGACUACAUACCCGGAAGUCAAUCUUUCCCACGGUACGUGAACGCAAUCAACAGAAGACCAACAAGAUUUUCAAAACAAAAACAUCUCAGUAUGUCUAUUUAUUUAAAAUGAUGCCAAGACAAGUAUAAUAUUUCCAUUUAAAAUAAUACCUAUAGCAUGCAAGGUGUCACAAAGUUGAUAAUUUGAUUUGAUAGUAUAGACAAAUCAUAGUCCCACUUAUGUACUAGAAUAACAAUGGGAUAAAAUCUUCUUUAUAUAAUAUCUUUACAGAUACUUUAGGGAAACUUCAGAUAAGGGGACUCAGUUUGUCAUUUGUAUCUGCAAUGUGCCACACCAAUGAAGGUUAAAAAAAUGCUUUGAGAAUCAGCGUAUCUUUCAUC